UAGGCGACGAUGUGUAGCCGGUCUGAGAGGAUGAAUGGCCACAAUGGAACUGAGACACGGUCCAUACUCCUACGGGAGGCAGCAGUGGGGAAUAUUGCACAAUGGGGGAAACCCUGAUGCAGCAACGCCGCGUGAGUGAAGAAGGUUUUCGGAUUGUAAAGCUCUGUUAGCAGGGAAGAGGAAGGACGGUACCUGCAGAGGAAGCCACGGCUAACUACGUGCCAGCAGCCGCGGUAAUACGUAGGUGGCAAGCGUUGUUCGGAAUAACUGGGCGUAAAGGAUGCGUAGGCGGUUGAGUAAGUUAUGUGUUAAAUAUAUAGGCUUAACCUGUAGAAAGCACAUAAAACUGUUUAACUAGAGUGCAGGAGAGGUAAGUGGAAUUCCUAGUGUAGCGGUGAAAUGCGUAGAGAUUAGGAAGAACACCAGUGGCGAAGGCGACUUACUGGACUGUAACUGACGCUGAGGCAUGAGAGCAUGGGGAGCAAACAGGAUUAGAUACCCUGGUAGUCCAUGCUGUAAACGAUGGGUACUAGGUGUGGGUUGUGAAUAACAAUCCGUGCCGUCGC
Molecule: ribosomal RNA, 566 nt
Filed under: uncultured bacterium
Lineage: Bacteria
Description: bacterial SSU rRNA
Rfam family: Bacterial small subunit ribosomal RNA
Source: RNAcentral